UUUGAUGUAUACCGUUAACGAUGAUAAUGCAUCCUGAAAUUUAUGCAGUGAAAUAAGCUAAGUCAAAGGACAUACCGUUUGAGCUUUUCCCAACCAAUGGAGUUCCUCUUAUUGUGAGGUUACUUUGAGUUGGAAAUGUCCACGCCAAUGGUGUCUGAUCAUCAUCGUCUGAUGACAGAACUGUCUUAUCUGCCAGUGGUUCACGUAUGAAAAAUCCCGUUUGUGGGCGUGACAAACCAAUGGCUUGUGAUCGGUUUGAAGAGCCAUUCUCAGCAACCACUGUCGACAUGGGCACAUCAGCUUAUCAUUGACAAUGUUCAAAACCAUUUAGCAAGGAAACGACUUCUUCCACUGUUCUAUUGGUAUUACUUCCACAAUAGCCUACUUAUGCACCUAGGUUUGUUUUAUCUAUCUUCCUCAAUAAGGUUCUAUUUUGUGCCAGAUUCGCGUUUUGAGAUGCAGGACGUGUAACUGCUAACACAGGGCUACUUCUCCAUGGCUACUUGAUCGUUUUAUCUCUACUAAGGUUCUAUUUUCUCCCUCAACGUGCUGCUCAUCAUGAUCGAUUCUGCCCAAAGAGGAUCUGUGAAAGUUCUUUUAAGAGGAACCUGGCUAGUGAAGACGGCAGGCUUGGCGAGGAAGGUCUUUUUACUCGAUGGCGACUUUGUUCAGCGAGCUUUUUACUCGAUGGAGACUUUGGUCAGCGAGCUUUUUACUCGAUGGCGACUUUGGUCAGCGAGAUGAAGAAGACGGCUGACAGCGACUUUGUUCUUUUAAGAGGAACCUGGCUAGUGAAGACGGCAGGCUUGGCGACAAAGGUCUUUUUACUCGAUGGCGACUUUGGUCAGCGAGAUGAAGAAGACGACUGGCAGUGACUUUGGUCAGCGCGAUGAAGAUGACGGCCAGCAGCGACCCUGGUUUUGGUCAGCGAGAUGAAGAAGACGGCUGACAGCGACUUUGGUCAGCGCGAUGAAGACGACGGCCAGCAGCGAUACUGGUUGUGGUCAGCGUGAUGAAGACGACACUGGUUGUGGUCAGCGUGAUGAAGACGACAGUGCCAUUUCAAAAGCUACGCCUAAUGGUGUGUUAGUUGAGAAAUAGUAGGUGUUUGUUGUGCCAUUUGAAAUUUUGAAAAGCUACGCCUAAUGGUGUGGAGUUGUUUGUUAUCCACGUUACACGGGCUGGAGUUGCUUUGUUAGUUGCGUUUUUUUCAAGAUUGCGUUGCGUUGAGAUAAGACGUGGGAGGUAUUAUUGUCCAUCCUGAAAAUGUGACACCAGGCAUUCACCGGUUUGCUCUUAAUAGU
Lolium perenne is the source of this 1304-nucleotide non-coding RNA. The record is from RefSeq and is a predicted model, not a curated record. NCBI's taxonomy places the organism in Eukaryota, Viridiplantae, Streptophyta, Magnoliopsida, Poales, Poaceae.